RNAcentral lists this transfer-messenger RNA (359 nucleotides) under Rhodospirillales bacterium. It matches the Rfam family "Alphaproteobacteria transfer-messenger RNA". Rfam says of the family: Bacterial tmRNA, also known as 10Sa RNA or SsrA, is named for its dual tRNA and mRNA-like properties. Its role is to liberate the mRNA from a stalled ribosome. To accomplish this part of the tmRNA is used as a reading frame that ends in a translation stop signal. Lineage: Bacteria; Pseudomonadati; Pseudomonadota; Alphaproteobacteria; Rhodospirillales. The record is from RNAcentral.
CGCUUGCUCGGCAGGGGGAUGCAGCACUAUAUUAUGAGUGUCGGUUAGCCGACUAUGGCGAUAAACGCUGCACGGAAUAGGCGUAGCGGACCCGGGGGCAGUGCCCGGCGCCUCCACCAAUCCCGCCGAGGCGGGCGCCACCUGCACAAGGGUGGCGGGACUUGGCCCUGCAACGGCGCAGGCCGACUUAAGGGGGCGAAACAGGAUCGACGUGCGUAGUAAAGGUGUGGUUUUCGCUCGGCAUGGUACCACCGUUAUCGGGCCGAAACUAUAGAUGCCAAUGACAAUGAGGCAUUUGCUGUCGCCGCUUAAGGCGUAGGCGGGGUUCGGGAGGCACCUGGCACCAGAAGCCUCCCACC